RNAcentral lists this ribosomal RNA (418 nucleotides) under uncultured bacterium. RNAcentral's name for it is "bacterial SSU rRNA". It matches the Rfam family "Bacterial small subunit ribosomal RNA", at positions 144 to 554 of the family's 1533-position model. The record is from RNAcentral.
UAACAGUUAGAAAUGACUGCUAAUACCGCAUAAGACCGCGGUGCCGCAUGGCACAGCGGUAAAAACUCCGGUGGUAUGAGAUGGGCCCGCGUCUGAUUAGCUGGUUGGAGAGGUAACGGCUCACCAAGGCGACGAUGCAUAGCCGGCCUGAGAGGGCGGACGGCCACACUGGGACUGAGACACGGCCCAGACUCCUGCGGGAGGCAGCAGUAGGGAAUUUUCGUCAAUGGGGGGAACCCUGAACGAGCAAUGCCGCGUGAGCGAGGAGGGUCUUCGGAUCUUAAAGCUCUGUUGCCGGGGACAAAAGGCAGAAAGAGUGGAAAGCUUUCUGAGUGAUGGUACCCGGCGAGGAAGUCACGGCUAACUACGUGCCAGCAGCCGCGCUAAUACGUAGGUGGCGAGCGUUAUCCGGAAUGAU